RNAcentral lists this ribosomal RNA (255 nucleotides) under uncultured bacterium. RNAcentral describes it as "partial 16S ribosomal RNA". It matches the Rfam family "Bacterial small subunit ribosomal RNA", at positions 524 to 776 of the family's 1533-position model. The record is from RNAcentral.
UACGUAGGGCGCAAGCGUUUGUCCGGAAUUAUUGGGCGUAAAGAGCUCGUAGGCGGUUUGUCGCGUCUGCUGUGAAAACCUAAGGCUCAACCUUGGGCUUGCAGUGGGUACGGGCAGACUAGAGUGUGGUAGGGGAGACUGGAAUUCCUGGUGUAGCGGUGAAAUGCGCAGAUAUCAGGAGGAACACCGAUGGCGAAGGCAGGUCUCUGGGCCGAUACUGACGUGGAGGAGCGAAAAGCGUGGGGAGCGAACAGG